GAUGAAGAACGUAGCGAAAUGCGAUAAGUAAUGUGAAUUGCAGAAUUCAGUGAAUCAUCGAAUCUUUGAACGCACAUUGCGCCCGCCAGUAUUCUGGCGGGCACGCCUGUUCGAGCGUCAUUUCAACCAUCAAGCCCCCGGCUUGUGUUGGGGACCUGCGGCUGCCGCAGGCCCUGAAAAGCAGUGGCGGGCUCGCUGUCACACCGAGCGUAGUAGCAUACAUCUCGCUCUGGGCGUGCUGCGGGUUCCGGCCGUUAAACCACCUUCAUAACCCAAGGUUGACCUCGGAUCAGGUAGGAAGACCCGCUGAACUUAAGCAUAUCAAUAAGCGGAGGA
RNAcentral lists this unclassified non-coding RNA (336 nucleotides) under soil metagenome. RNAcentral describes it as "partial contains 5.8S ribosomal RNA, internal transcribed spacer 2, and large subunit ribosomal RNA". The stretch from base 1 to 120 matches the Rfam family "5.8S ribosomal RNA", at positions 35 to 154 of the family's 154-position model. The record is from RNAcentral.